CCUACGGGUGGCAGCAGUGGGGAAUAUUGCACAAUGGGGGGAACCCUGAUGCAGCAACGCCGCGUGGGUGAAGAAGUACUCCGGUAUGUAAAGCCCUGUCAGCAGGGAAGAAAAUGACGGUACCUGACCAAGAAGCCCCGGCUAACUACGUGCCAGCAGCCGCGGUAAUACGUAGGGGGCAAGCGUUAUCCGGCUUUACUGGGUGUAAAGGGAGCGUAGACGGCAAGGCAAGUCUGGAGUGAAAGCCCGUGGCCCAACCACGGGACUGCUUUGGAAACUGUGUUGCUGGAGUGCAGGAGGGGUAAGCGGAAUUCCUGGUGUAGCGGUGAAAUGCGUAGAUAUUAGGAGGAACACCGGUGGCGAAGGCGGCUUACUGAGCCAUAACUGACACUGAAGCACGAAAGCGUGGGGAUCAAACAGGAUUAGAUACCCCUGUAGUC
RNAcentral lists this ribosomal RNA (440 nucleotides) under uncultured bacterium. RNAcentral's name for it is "partial 16S ribosomal RNA". It matches the Rfam family "Bacterial small subunit ribosomal RNA", at positions 338 to 795 of the family's 1533-position model. The record is from RNAcentral.